CGCCACCCGACGCAAAUCAGUCGCCGCCCCAGUGAUCCUCCCCUUCCCCGUGCUAUCCCUCGAUACCGGCCGAGCGCCUUCGGCAGGAUGCGUCGGCACGGUCCAGUCACCGGGGGUCGCUCUCCCUGACUCACAGCUGAAGGAGACCGGCAGUUUCCUCGACGGAGCACCGCAGAAGCCAAUCGAGCCUACAACCACAACCAGGACGAGUCCCUCAAUUUGCUAGUUUCAUUUUUUAUUGCAAUCGCAAACUCUGUUUGCCCCUUCCUUGAUCCAAUCUUUCGUCCUUGCUGCUCCACAUCACAUCUACCUGCCGACGCGGCGCCCCAACCCAUGAACCUUCACCUGCUGGUUGACCUUCUCGCAAAGCCCACCUCGACCUUCCUGGGAUCUGGCUCGUAGGGCGCACGCAAUCUCGUCCUGGCCAGCUGCUGCUGGGGGAAGCUCCACCGGCCUGAAGAUGCAAGAGAUACGCAAGAACAGAGGGAGAUACAGAGCAUGUGUAGUAUAUGGACUGCUCGCACGCGCUGCCACGGACUGCUCCGCCCACCUCCCCCACACCUCGCGCGUCGCCUGCGUGCCACACCAUAGCCACCUCUCCCACACGUUGAUGAAGAGGUCUGUCUCUCUUUCCUCCCCUGCUCACCGUCCUGUGAGGCAGUGGAAGCGACUACUUGAGGGAACGAAGCCCGGCCUCCCAACACCGGCAGUCUCCCUGCACCCUGCAAAAAAUUAAAUAAAUCGCAAGUUCAGAAUCAAGAAACCAUGAAGUUCAAAGACAACAAAGGGACAACAAUGUUGAUGGCGAUUGAAGAAGGAUCCCGGAAAUAUUAUUAUUGGGAUCGAAGGCCAAGUUUUAUGCACGGUCUUAGAGGAUUCCAAGAAUUGUUCUGAAGCGGUCGAUGGCUUUCGAGAGAUGCGAUCAUAUCUCACAAGUUUCCACGGGGUUCAAGAUCAUUUAUAUAAGAAGGAAAUGUCAAAGGUUCAGACGGCAGCACACUUUACUGGUGAAAAAUCUGAACAUGUGUAGUGCAAUCAUGGGAAAAAGCUUGAAUUUUUAUCGCUUAACCUCUGCUGAUCUCUCCUAUAGUUUUUGUUAUGCGUUCUUCAUUGAGUGGUACAACUGAACAUAUCCACGGGAGAUCCAUGCUAUGGUACAGAUUUGUGAAAUUAGUUUGUACUCAUUAGUAUUAUUUCAUUGUGGGUAACGGGCGCAUGACUUCAUGUGUUCACUAUUUAUUUUUUCGCUUGAUUUGUAUCCAAAUUAUUUAUUAAUAUUGUGAUUCGAGUGACUCUGUGC
Molecule: ribosomal RNA, 1300 nt
Filed under: Triticum aestivum (bread wheat)
Lineage: Eukaryota; Viridiplantae; Streptophyta; Magnoliopsida; Poales; Poaceae
Description: partial small subunit ribosomal RNA
Source: RNAcentral